Molecule: ribosomal RNA, 344 nt
Filed under: uncultured bacterium
Lineage: Bacteria
Description: bacterial SSU rRNA
Rfam family: Bacterial small subunit ribosomal RNA
Source: RNAcentral
CGAGUGGGGAAUAACUUCGGGAAACCGAGGCUAAUACCGCAUAAUACCCACGGGUCAAAGGAGCAAUUCGCUUGAGGAGGAGGUCGCGGCCCGAUUAGUUAGUUGGCGGGGUAAUGGCCCCACCAAGACGGUGAUCGGUAUCCGGCCUGAGAGGGCGCACGGACACACUGGAACUGAAACACGGUCCAGACUCCUACGGGAGGCAGCAGUGGGGAAUUUUGCGCAAUGGGGGAAACCCUGACGCAGCAACGCCGCGUGGAGGAUGAAGUCUCUUGGGACGUAAACUCCUUUCGAUCGGGACGAUUAUGACGGUACCGGAAGAAGAAGCCCCGGCUAACUACGUG